RNAcentral lists this long non-coding RNA (5896 nucleotides) under Sus scrofa (pig). Its description in RNAcentral is "lncRNA (ENSSSCG00050008059.1)". Lineage: Eukaryota; Metazoa; Chordata; Mammalia; Artiodactyla; Suidae. The record is from RNAcentral.
AGGCUGGGAAUUUAGCCCAAUUGCUGAUUGGCUAGCUCCAUUUCACACCUCCUCUUUGCUUCUGAUCUCAUUACACUACUGUUAAGAGCCACAAGACUAGAUGACUGAUUAUCUCUCAGCUUUAUUGAGAUAUAAUACCAUAAAGUUCACCUGUUUAAAGUAUAUGAUUCAAUAUAAUCUAAUUUUCUUUUAAUUACUCAUCAAACAGUAGUAUACCUAUGCUUUAGUAUAGCCUUUUAAGUACAUCAACAUGUGAUAAAAGGAAGAAAAAAACUGUUUCAGUUAUUUCACAGCUAUUUUAACUCUGGAGUGGUUUUCAGCAUUGGAAAAGAGUCGAGUACCAAAAAAAAAUUUUUUUUGACCACGCCUGCAGAAUGUGGAAAUUCUUGGGCCAGGAGUUGAACCCACACCACAGCAGUGACCCAAACCACAGAAGUAGCAACACUAGACCUGCUGAGCCACCAUGGAAGUCCAGAAAUUUAUUUUUAAGGUAAAACAUGAGGAUAUACUUCAUUGAAAAAAUAAGCCUUUUUAAUCAGUGAAUUUGCAGGCUACUCUUGUUGCUUAGGCCAUAUGAAUUUGAAUAAUCCAUUUUACAUUUUAUCAGACCAUGGAAAAUGAAUUCAAUGAGGGGAAUGCCUCUAUUUCAGAACUAUUGCUACAGUAGGUUAUAUUCAGGGUGGAGAUAGAAAAAAGAGCUAAAGGAAGUUGCAGUUCUAAUUACCAAGCAGGUUGUAUAAUGUAAUUUGAUUUCCCAUUAAAGAAAGAAAAAAACACUCUUAUAUCUUAGUGUUUUUUUAGCUAAAGAUUGAUGGAUAUUUAAUAAUUGUUCCUUCUUAUUAUCUGAAUGCUUCUCAGACUUCUUUACUCAAGUGCUUCUGACACUGUGGAGGAGGGAAAAUCCAGAAGUAUCAAAGAAUAGAACCAGGUAUUGUCUCUCCGUCCUCCUAUAAAAUUAAAUCUCAGGAGUUCUCUCUGGCACAGUGGGAUCAGUGGCAUCUCUGCAGCACCAGGGCACAGGUUCAAUCCCCACCCCAGCACAGUGGAUUAAAGGAUCUGGCUUUGCUGCAGUUGUGACGUAAGUUGCAACUGGCAGAUCACAGCUCUCCAAUUAGACCCCUAGCCUGGGAACCUCCAUAUGCCGUGGGUGCAGCCCUAAAGAGACAAAAAGACAAAAAAAAAAAAAAGUAAGUAUACUGUUAAAAGGUUGCAGUAAUUUCACUUAACACUUCUGGAUUGCUCUCCAGAAAUGGCUUUCUAUAACUGACAUUAAUCGGCAAAGCAUGAGGGUUUCACGUUCCCCCACAACCUUACCUUUACCUAAAUUAUCUGACUUCCAUGUUCUGACAAAUCCCUUAGGUGCAAAAGGGCAUAUCCUUAAAUUUGCAUUUCUCAUAUUACUAAUAAGAUUGUACAUCCAUAUAUUUGUUUAGCCAUUUGGAUUUUUCAUUCUGCCAAUUGCUUAUUGAUAUCCUUUGUUCCAUUUUCCAUCAAGUGUCCUAAAUUUUUCUUGUUGAUCCAUAGGAAUAGGGAUCGACAAAUUACAGCUUGAAGGCCAAAUCCUGCUUACCAUGUAUUUUUAUAAAUAAGUUUUUACAGACACACAACCAUUAUUCACUUCAUUUAUGUAUUGUCCAUGGUUGCUUUCAUGCUACGACAGCAGCGUUCAACAGUUGCAACAGAGAACAUAUGACCCACAAAACCUAAAAUAUUUACUUUCUAUUUACACAACAAUCCAUGUUCUAGAUAGCAAUCUCUUGUCUCUUUUACAUGUUGCAAAUAAUUUUUCCUGGUCUAUCACCUAUCUGUAAAUAUUUAUGUUUGAGGUCCCUUCUGGAGCAAGGAUCCUUAGUUUGAUAUAGUCAAAUCUAUUAAUUUCUUGAUUCGUUGUUUGUAUUUUAUGAGUCUUACUUAAAAAGUUCUAUCCUGUCCCAAAGUCACAAUAAUACCUUAUACUUUCUUCUCUUUGCUUUAGAGUUGUAUUUUCACAGUGUGAUCUUUAAUUUCUAAAAUAUAUGGUGUGAGGUAGGAAAUUGAGAUUUAUUUUUCUAUAUAAAAUGAACUCUUUUGGAGUUCCCUUUGUGGCUCAGCAGUUAACAAACCCAACUAGUAUGAGGAUGUGGGUUCCAUCCCUGGCCUUGCUCAGUGGGUUAAGGAUCUGGCAUUGCCAUGAGUUGUGGUGUAGGUCACAGAUGUGGCUCGGAUCCUAGGUUGAUGUGGCUGUGGCAUAGGCCUGCAGCUGCAGCUCCGAUUAGACCCCCUAGCCUGGGAACUUCCGUAUGCCAUGGGUGCAGCCAUAAAAAGCAAAAACAAAAACAAAAACAAAAAAUGAACUAUCUUUAAAAUAGAUAUAAAAGUAUUUUCCUUUAUAAGAUUGUUAGUUUACCUAAAGUUAAUAUGAUGCCUGACAUGCUUGUGUGCUAUUAUAUGUUUAAACUAUAUUCAGAAUGCAGAAUUAUGACAUAAAUUUGCACUCAUAUCUCAGUCUACACUGGUAUUAGAUCUUGCCUCCUUUCAGUGGGGCUUUUUGACUUCCAGUAACUUUGGGCUAGCUCUGAUUAUCCAGAAUAUCUCCCCAGGCCUUGACCCUUUUAAACACUUCUUCUGCCAAUCAAAUUGGACUUAAAAUCAUAUUUAAGAUGUUGGCUAAGGAUUUGGCUCACUGAAACAUCAAAAUAGCUUGUGUUCUUAUAUGUAUUCAUUAAUAGUAACAUGGCCAUUUACAUCUGGUGUUACCCAAACUGUCUUAACUCAGAAGGUGGCACUGUGAUAAACCAAUAUCAGGAGAGAAUUGAAGUAGAUUUAACUCAAGAGGACUAAAUCAGACAGUAAUAGAAAGCUAUACACAGUCUGGGAUAUUGCAUUUUGAGGUAAGCCUUUUUAAAAAUAACUUUUCAUUGCUUUUUUUUAGCUAGAAAGGAGGCUAAACUUCUUUCUUAAUGUCUGUUCUUUUGCAGAUUUUUUAUCCACAUCCUUUGCACACAUUUCCGUUCAGUGAUUAUCACCUUACUUAUCAUCAUCAUUCAGGACUCAUCUUUUCACAAUUAGUUUGCAAACAUAUUGAACCAUACCUUAGUUUCUUUUACAGAUCCCUGACUUCCGUACUUUCCAAGCAUUCUUUUCUUCAUGUUCAACCACUUUGUUUCCACCCUUUUUUUUUUCCUUUGGCCAUGCCUGUGGCAUGCGGAAGUUCCCUCAGAGAUUGAGCCUGUGCCACAGCAGCAAGCCCAGUCGGUCGCUACAUUGACAACACCUCGGGAUUUCAACCCCCUGCACUGCAAGGAACUCAUGUUUCCAUCCUUUAAUGGCUUCUAAUUUUCUUCCUAGGCUUUAUGUAUCACCAGAAAUCUACAGUGAGAGAGGUAGCAUUUACCAACUUACAUGAAUGUUCACUUCUCCAAUUCAGGGUAUUCCCUCUUCUGUUAUGGAAAUACCUGGGAAAAAAGAGGUUGGUAAUCAGGAGUUUACUUGGGGAAUAUAGGAUUGAAGCAGAAAGAGAUAGAUAAUGUAAUAUUUUUGGCCUUAAUAGAAAAACAGUUUAUUUCUUACUAGAAAAGAAAUACAAGUACAUUAUAGAAAAUAUACUAAAUGAAAGUAAAUUGUAAUUCCUUGAAAAAAAUAGGAUUAUAUUAUAGAUAAUUAGUAAGCUGCUUUUUAAACUCGACAACAUAUUACAAGCAUUUUUCAAUGUUAUUAAUAUUCUAGUGUUAUUUUAAUGGCCAUAUAAUAUUGCAGUGUUAAAUUAAAUCAAUCUCUAUUAUUUCCAACUUUGCAAUAUAAACAAAGCUGUGAGAAAUAGUCUUAUAACUAGAUCUUUUUGCAUAUCUAUAAUUUUGGAUAAUUCUAGAAACUAAGAUAAUGUUAAAAGAAAAAUUGCUGUAUUGAAAUUAAAGUUUUUUACUUGUGUACAUUUUUAUUCAAUUUAUUCUUAGUACCUGGCAUAUAAUAGGUAUUCAAUAACCCUUUUUUUUUAAUGAUUGUUAUUUUUUCCAUUAUAGUUGGUUUACAGUGAACGUUUUGUAUAUACAUACUGCCUUGUGGCAUUUACAUUUUUUUCUGUUAAUUGGAUAAGGAAAAAUGGCAUCGCAUUUUAAGUUGCAUUUCUUUGAUUGAAAAAGAGGUUGAACAUCUUAAAAUGUAUUUACUGUCCAUUGAGGUUUUUUUUUCCUUUUGUCUCUUUAGGGCCACACUCACAGCAUGUGGAGGUUCCCAGGCUAGGGACUGAAUCUGAGCUGUAGCUGCACACAGCAACACCAGAUCUGAGCUGCAUCUGCAACCUACACCACAGCUCACAGCAACACCAGAUCCUUAACCCACUGAGCGAGGCCAGGGAUUGAACCUGUGUCCUCAUGGAUGCUAGUCAGAUUUGUUUCUGCUGAGCUGCAAUGGGAACUCCCCGUUGAGUUCUUUUUGUUUAUCCCCAUCCUUUGUCCAUUGUUCAUUGCAGUGACUAUUGUCGUCUUAACUGCUUUUCCUCAUCAGCUCAGCUCCACUCUUUGAUUUGUUACAUGUGAAUAUAUUAAAAUUUUAAGUAUAAUGUUUAUGUUUUCAUAUAUCAUCGUCUGUCCAUCUUUACCUUGUGGGUUUCCACCUUUGAUGAUAUGUUUUGAAAGUUUCCUCAAGAUUUUGUAAAUAUUCACAAACAUUUUCUUAUAAUUAUCUUAUGAUUUCAUUUUUCAAAGCUUCAUAUUGUUAAUCCACAUGCAGUGUAUUUUGAUAUUGGUGCAAGGUAGGGAUAUAACCUGUGUUUUGUUUUUCCCAAAUGCUUAACCAGUCGUCUCAAAGGAAAUGGUUUAGUGUUGAGGUAUUUCAUACCAGCCAGAAAGAGGCAUAAAUUUAUAUCCUUUGGAGAGAUUAGAUAUAAGUGAAAUUAUCUCUAAUUUGAUAAAUCAUUCUUAUUUGUAUGAGGAAACUAUUUUCCUUUUCAAUUCAGUCAAGUAUAUCUCAUCUGUUUUAAUUUAAUAGAGUACUUGAAUAAUUUAUUUUCCUUAAGGUGUUUUUAUUUGUAUUGAAAUAGCGUUUCUCAUUCCUAAAUAAUAUAGAUUAACAAUCUAGAGAUCAUCUUUAAUAUAUGUCAUUAUCUAAAGUUACUAUUUUCAUCAACUUCUAAAUUAAAUUUUUUUUUUGCUUCUUAAAUUUUCAAACUUCAAUUCUUCUCUCUGUGGAAUUUUAAAUAUUAGUCUUCAAAGGUAAAAAAAAAUCUGUUUUUGGAAUAGAGGUCCUGAUUUUAAAGUAAGUAUCUUCAUCUGUUUUCAUUACAUAAUGAUUAAGUAUGGAAUACUGCAUUUCUUGAUAACUUGUUCAAAUAUAUGCACUAAUUUUAGUCAUAAUUUAAAAUCAUAAAAAUAAGAGGUUAGGAUACUAUGCAUUUGUGUUUUAUUACUUGUAAAAAUUUAACUUUUUCUAUUCAUAAUAAAUGCUCGGUUUAAAGCAAGUUGGUUGGGUGUGCUUUUUUCACCCAUUUAAAAUGUUUUUCAGAAUUCUGAGAUAAUGGUAGUUGGUUUUUUAGCUUGCCAUGUUUUGAGUAUGACUCUUAUAAGUAUGCUACUCUAAGAGAUGCUUAUUGGAUUAAAAGUGUUCCAUUUUUCUUGCUCAUCCCUAUUCUGCAGUCAUAGGAACUGAUACAUGUGUUCUUUAUUUCAUUUAAGAAAUAUUUAUUGGAGUUCCUGUCAUAGCACAGUGGAAGCAAAUCUGACUAGGAACCAUGAGGUUGCCACUUUGAUCCCUGGCCUUGCUCAGUGGGUUAAGGACCCGGCGUUGCCGUGAGCUGUGGCGUAGGUCAUAGAUGCAGUAUGGAUCCCCUAUUGCUGUGGCUGUGGGGUAGGCCUGCAGCUACAGCUCCAGUUUGACUCCUAGCCUGGGAACCUCCAUAUGCCAUGGAUGCAGCCCUGAAAAG